CUGCAACUCGACUCCAUGAAGUCGGAAUCGCUAGUAAUCGUGAAUCAGAAUGUCACGGUGAAUACGUUCCCGGGCCUUGUACACACCGCCCGUCACACCAUGGGAGUGGGUUGCAAAAGAAGUAGGUAGCUUAACCUCCGGGAGGGCGCUUACCACUUUGUGAUUCAUGACUGGGGUGAAGUCGUAACAAGGUAACCGUAGGGGAACCUGCGGUUGGAUCACCUCCUUA
This 229-nucleotide ribosomal RNA is filed under the name Kosakonia radicincitans UMEnt01/12. Its description in RNAcentral is "partial 16S ribosomal RNA". It matches the Rfam family "Bacterial small subunit ribosomal RNA", at positions 1305 to 1533 of the family's 1533-position model. The record is from RNAcentral. Lineage: Bacteria; Pseudomonadati; Pseudomonadota; Gammaproteobacteria; Enterobacterales; Enterobacteriaceae.